RNAcentral lists this transfer RNA (73 nucleotides) under Priestia megaterium. RNAcentral describes it as "Bacillus megaterium tRNA-Thr". It matches the Rfam family "tRNA". From Rfam's summary of the family: Transfer RNA (tRNA) molecules are approximately 80 nucleotides in length. The record is from RNAcentral. Lineage: Bacteria; Bacillati; Bacillota; Bacilli; Caryophanales; Bacillaceae.
GCCGGGGUAGCUCAAUUGGUAGAGCAACUGACUUGUAAUCAGUAGGUUGGGGGUUCAAGUCCUCUCUCCGGCA